Long non-coding RNA from Brassica napus (rape), 2314 nucleotides. RefSeq lists it as uncharacterized. Lineage: Eukaryota; Viridiplantae; Streptophyta; Magnoliopsida; Brassicales; Brassicaceae. The record is from RefSeq and is a predicted model, not a curated record. The transcript is spliced from 2 exons.
GUUUCAAUGCCUUUUCAAAGUGAUACGGUGUCGUUUCAUCUCCUCUAGCUACGUAAGCCGACGUCGUUUCGUUUGCUGGUAGAUCAGCCAAUUCACAAUCUCAUGUCCUCUCUGUCUCCUCCGCCGGUUCUUAGAUUCACCACGCCGUCACGUAUCAAACUCAAAUCGUCCUCCUGAUGGAUUCAUUCUCCUCCCGGUAGCUCUUAUACGCAUCAUCUAUAACCCUUGUCGAUGAUUUUCAUGAUCUUCUUGGCCCAAAGAUAGGGAGGCGAAGAGAAGAACCGGUACAUGCACUGAUCACGCCGAGCUCUUCAGGUUGCCUGAGGAUUAUACUGUCUGGCUAGGGGAGAUAAAGCCAUUGCCUCACUUUAAGGUUGUUCUUUGGUUUUGCUUUAGUCUUGUCAGUUUGUUCAGUGCUUUUUAAGCCAUUCUUUUGCUGCAGGAAACAACAUAUAUGGUGGACAUGGUUUUCUAUGUGGAUGAGAUUAUUCAAGUCUUGAGUGAACAGUUUAAGGGAUCUGGAAAGCCCCUGUUGUAUCUUCUGCUUGGUCUUACCACCGACAGCGGAAACUUAUCCGAGGUUUCUGCGUUUUCGUCCUUUCUUCCGCACUUGUUUCAGAAAAUUCUUCUGAUUUAUUGUCAAAGCUAUGCUCUGGUGAUUUGGUCUUGCCUUGAGUUGGUCAAAUUUGAACAAGAGAUUAUUGGGCUCCUUUUGCACCGGAUCAAAGUGGUUUCACGUCUUUGCGCAAAUAUUCUCGAAACAACGCACGCAGACUGUUCAAGAUACUGGAACUUAGUUGUGUGAAAGCAUCAUCUCACACCUCGACAGAGAUUCUCAGAGCAGAAGCAGUUUAUGAAAUGAAUUUUGAUAAGUAAGCUCUAUAGCAACCUUGGAGAAAACUGAUUCUAUAGAAACACCUGAAACACAUUCACCAUUUCAGCAAGUGAAGCAUACAAAUUUUGAAACAGUUCAUGUAGCAUCAGGGACGUGUGCCAAUGCAUCACUGGUAUCACACUCUGGUUUUGUUGUUGAUGUGUUACCUUAUGACUGUGGCAGAGGUGAUUUGGUCUUUCAUAAACAGGAGGAAUCAUGCAUUUUACAGGUCCAAAUAAAGGAUGAAUGUAUAAGUAUAACCUCCUACUUACAAGGGUCAAGGGGGGGUUCGAUAGACGACAUAUCCUUGUUCUGAGUCUUGGCUGCCUCUGGAGAUCAAGAAGGUCGUUGUGCAGACUUCUGAAGAUGUGAAUUCAGAGGAAAAGCUCAAGGCCUCGAAUGCAAUCUUCUACUUCUCUUCAGGAACUUGAAUGCUCCUCCCCAUGGUCUGUGCCAGGAUCACAGAGUCAUCAUUAAGAAGAAGCACUGAUGGGCUUCCAGGACACGCUUGUCUUGCAACAUCGGCUGAAACUCUGUAAGGGCUACAUUGGCUCACAACAUCUGCUGCGGUCGAGGUCCAGGUCCUAGAAGCCCACGAUUCGGCUGUGGAGAUUGUAUGUACUGUCCCCACGGUUGCAUUUGGUUCUGCCAUUGCGGAAAUGGUCCUGUCCAAAACUGAUUUGCACGCAUAUUGCUGUAGUCUUGGUGUUGAUUGUUUCGACCUCUGAAACGAUUGCCACCGUAACGCUUGUUGCCGCGAGGGUUGUUGGAUCUCUGGUUGUUUUAAGUGUGAUUGUGUUGAGAGUCGGUGCGAGCAAAGUAAGAUGAUGAAUGCUCCUAGUGAUGAGCGACUUGCUUUGUUGUCCUCUUCAGACGAGUUUCAUCCAUUUCGGGAAGGGAUCCCUAUGUUGAAUGACAUUAAUGAUGUUGUCGAAGCGCUCGUUCAAACCGUUACCUGACGAGAGUGCGAUCGGCUAUGGAAGCAUCAACAUUAGCAAGACAAUCUGAGACAGAGAUUUGAGUUUCUGCCUGUAGGUCUCAAUGAUCAUGUCACCAAUCUCCCUUGUACGCUGUUCAUUGUCGAGUUGAAUGGCCCAAGCGUCAUAGUUAUGGUCAUCUAGGUCGAGGAUCAACAGGAUGUGUGACUUGAUGUUUGUCACACUGAAGGCUCUGUCGACUUGAGUGGGAUUAGCAGCCAUGAUCGACAAGAAAAGAAAACAGAAUAAAGAGAUUGAGAUCAAAGAAAGAAGCCAAAUAAGAAGAGUUGAAACUCUGAUUCCAUAAAAGAUGGUGAAUUUCCUUGUUUAGUUUGAUUGUAUUACGUGACUAAAUAGUCAAACGAGGUUACAGAGGUUAUGCUAUUCUAGGGAUUUACAAAGGUCUGAGCAACAUAAUAUCCAAAACUCUACAAUAUUGGUUUUCAUAAAUUUUUUUACUAUA